RNAcentral lists this ribosomal RNA (253 nucleotides) under uncultured bacterium. RNAcentral describes it as "partial 16S ribosomal RNA". It matches the Rfam family "Bacterial small subunit ribosomal RNA", at positions 524 to 776 of the family's 1533-position model. The record is from RNAcentral.
UACGAAGGGUGCAAGCGUUACUCGGAAUUACUGGGCGUAAAGCGUGCGUAGGUGGUGAGGUAAGUCGGAUGUGAAAGCUCGGAGCUCAACUCCGAAAUGGCAUUGGAAACUACCUUGCUCGAGGGUUGGAGGGGGGACUGGAAUGCUUGGUGUAGCAGUGAGAUGCGUAGAUAUCAAGCGGAACACCAGUGGCGAAGGCGAGUCCCUGGACAACUCCUGACACUGAGGCACGAAAGCUAGGGGAGCAAACAGG